GGGAAGGUGGCUCAGUGGUAGAGUGCUUGCCUUGCAUGCAAGAGGCCCUGGUUUCGAUUCCUCAGUACCA
Molecule: non-coding RNA, 70 nt
Organism: Dipodomys ordii (Ord's kangaroo rat)
Lineage: Eukaryota; Metazoa; Chordata; Mammalia; Rodentia; Heteromyidae
Source: Rfam